UAGGGAAUCUUCCGCAAUGGGCGAAAGCCUGACGGAGCAACGCCGCGUGAGUGAUGAAGGUCUUCGGAUCGUAAAACUCUGUUAUUAGGGAAGAACAAAUGUGUAAGUAACUAUGCACGUCUUGACGGUACCUAAUCAGAAAGCCACGGCUAACUACGUGCCAGCAGCCGCGGUAAUACGUAGGUGGCAAGCGUUAUCCGGAAUUAUUGGGCGUAAAGCGCGCGUAGGCGGUUUUUUAAGUCUGAUGUGAAAGCCCACGGCUCAACCGUGGAGGGUCAUUGGAAACUGGAAAACUUGAGUGCAGAAGAGGAAAGUGGAAUUCCAUGUGUAGCAGUGAAAUGCGCAGAGAUAUGGAGGAACACCAGUGGCGAAGGCGACUUUCUGGUCUGUAACUGACGCUGAUGUGCAAAAGCGUGGGGAUCAAACAGG
Molecule: ribosomal RNA, 429 nt
Filed under: Actinomycetes bacterium
Lineage: Bacteria; Bacillati; Actinomycetota; Actinomycetes
Description: Actinobacteria bacterium partial 16S ribosomal RNA
Rfam family: Bacterial small subunit ribosomal RNA
Source: RNAcentral